This is a long non-coding RNA of Betta splendens (Siamese fighting fish), 2098 nucleotides long. RefSeq lists it as uncharacterized. NCBI's taxonomy places the organism in Eukaryota, Metazoa, Chordata, Actinopteri, Anabantiformes, Osphronemidae. The record is from RefSeq and is a predicted model, not a curated record. The transcript has 2 exons.
AAUGAAUUUGCUUUCUAUCAAUUUGCUUUUAUGCCCAUAUUUCAGGGUGCUGAGAUAAGGUCAACUGUCACACAGGAAUGUUUGCUGAAUAAAAAUUGAUGCAUAAAGAGCUGCGGAGCAGGUUAAAGGUGGGCUCCCUUCUGCCAAUGAGUUCCAGAUCUGACCUUUACUUUAUGCAAUUCAAUAGGUUCAAUAUGUUAGCUUGCGCUAUUCUGUCAAACUGAGAGAAGGUCUCCUCAGUUACCAUGAGCCACAGUCAUGUAAAGUCUUUCAUCUGAUUUGUUUCCCUUUUGUAUUUGUUGUUAUUUUGUUCGUGCCGAGACAGGAGAGAAUCAGUCAGCUUUUUGAUUUGAAGGAAGCCGGCUUAUUGUACAUCUGAACUGCUGAGUUUCAUACUGUGGGGAUGUCUUUGUUAUCAUACUGUAGUAAUCAGAACAUAUAAAAGUGAUGCAUUUCUUACAGCACAUGUGGAUUCCCAGCAUAUUUCCACAAUUCACACUGGAUAUGCAUUAUUCAAAAACCAAGAACAGAACUGGUCAGAAAAUAUUUCAACAUGGCCGACAGUGUAAAUGUUUGUAGUUCUUAUUGUUGUUAUUCAGAUUGUUAUUAAUGAACCUGCAGUAACAUCUGUAAAUUUGCUGUAAUAUACAGUAAGGCUAUGGGAAGUUGAAUUCUUCAAAAUUGUAAGAACCCCGGUUAAUAAAAGUAAAACCCACAAUGGUCAUGAAAAACUACUUAUAACUUGAAACUGACCAAAUUUACUGAAAAUUAACCCUAGAAAAUUGUUUGAUUGUGGCACAACAGGGGCAGCAUGGUGGUGCGGUGGGUAGCACUGUCGCCUCACAGCGAGAAGGGUUUGAUUCCUUGAGGCGGCCCAGGUGCCAUUCUCUGCAUGUUCUCCCCGUGUCCGCAUGGGUUCUCUCUGGGUUUUCUGAAUGUUUGUUUGUCUAUGUGUUGCCCUGCGAUGGGCUGGCGACCUGUCGAGGGUGUACCCCGCCUCUCGCCAUGGCCAGCUGGGAUAUGCUCCGGCACCCCUGCGAUUAAGCGGGGUGGGAGAUGGAUGGAUGGAUGGAUGGAUGGAUGUGGCCCAACAGAAUAAUUAAAAAAACAAACAAAUGAAGCAGGUCUGGACAAAAUGAUGGUAUCUCUAUCUAACUUAAUAUUUUUUUGCAACCAUUGUAACCAAACAAUUUCUGUAACUGUCAGUCAGAUGUGCGCCUGUCAACUUUUCAACAAUUUUGUCAGUUAGCAGGUUUCAGCCUUUUCCAUAGAUUUUCAAAAGGAUUCACUGUAGAGUCCACAUUAGAUUAGUCCAUUAUUGGGUGUUUAGCUGGGUGCUUUGGGUCAUGACCUAUUUGUCUUUCUUUCUUUUCUUUCUGACACUAGGCAGCACAUUUCUCUCAAGAUGCCUUGAUAGUCUUGAGAUUUCAUUGGACCCUGCACAGAUUCAAGAGGCAGCAGAGCAGCCCCAGAACAUAACCAAGCCUGCUCCAUGUGUCAAAGUAGGGCUGGCGAAUCCCAGCUACUAAAACGCGAGGAGGUUGUUUCUCAAUCUGACGCCACUGCAGGCUGUGGACACGCGGCGUCCCACCGGCGCUCUGAGCAGAAUAGGAGCAACCUGAUAGAAAGGAGGUCAUUGAUGCCAUGCCAAGAUUUAACAAACCAGCAUUAUAAAAGCUAAGUUGAAAACGUGUUUGCUCCAAACACCAUUACAACUGAUCUAACUACCUCUAUAUAUUGUUUACAUUUGUGAAGGUUGUGAGAUACAUAGGAAAUAUUGGACAUUUUGUUAAUCUACAAUUCUAUUCUCUAUACCUUCUAGGAAGGUAACGUGUCAAGGAAAACAGCUGCAUCCUCUAUCUGUACAGCAGCUGCACUGCUUCCAAUGUCUUCCAAAACUCGAUGAAGACAAAAAAGAUCCUCACAUUUCCCCAGCCAACUGCCCAUGACUGUACCUGUUCCACUACAAAAACUAUGCUUUCAACAUAACUAUGAAUCCUACCCAUUCAUUUUGUGGUCUGCAAAUUGAGCUGUGAAGGUAACUUAUCCAGCAUUAUAGUGCUGGUGCAUUUGUUAACAAUAAAGUUGGCUUUGAUUA